Molecule: unclassified non-coding RNA, 216 nt
Filed under: Hevea brasiliensis (rubber tree)
Lineage: Eukaryota; Viridiplantae; Streptophyta; Magnoliopsida; Malpighiales; Euphorbiaceae
Source: RNAcentral
GAGGGAGGUUAUUUGGGUGAAGAAAUGAUGAUGAUGAUGACCUGGCAUCAUCUGGGUCGUCCAUCUGUGGGGUUGGCAUGACUACUGGCUCAUUCUGCAUCUAGUAUCUCUGCUUGAGCCACUGCAAGCUGCAUUUGAAGCUGAGAAACCUGGUUUUGCAGGUAUGAUAUGGCUCCUACACACCCAUAAACUGGGUCUCUCACCCUUGCAUUUGCU